GUUCAACCGCAAACAAACCUUAAGAGAAAAAAUUAGGGUUUCAUUUACAAACAAACUUUAAGAGAAAAAGUUAGUGUUUUUCCAUGGAUUCUUGAUUGAGACUUCCUCGUGGAACUAUAGAUGCAAAGUGAAAAAAGAAAUCCAUGGCUUCUGGAUCGAGUCUUGUUUCUUUUGGAGAUAGAUAUGCGAAGUUAAAAAAAGAAAAAAAAAUUAUGGCUGCAGGCAGGAAGAGGUUAAUUCCCCUCGGUAGGAGCCAGUUCAUGCCCUAACUCGUUGGGCGGAGAAAAAUGCACUAAAAGAGAGACUUGUAAAAUGGAUUUUUUUUGGAUGUCAAACAUCUAUAUCCUUACCGAGGCUAGGUCAUUUGAAAACAGAAUGUGACUGUUUCCUUACCUGAAUGCAAUGAAGAUGAUUGAAAUUGAUGUGUUGGAGAAAGAAGUUUAUGGUGUUGAUGUGUUUACAUAUAAUAUGCUUCUUUGUUCCAUGCCUACGACGGGAUGGCUAGUUGAACAAAAUUUAUUAAAGACAUGUUUUUCCUGGAUUAAGCUCCCAGGUGAUGGGUUUGAUUGAGGACAAUACCUAUGACAUAUAAGCUCAAAGAUGUAAUUGAGGGGAUAAACACAUGUAAGGAUCUAUUUUCGGUUGUUAAAAGCUAACGGAAACAUGUUACGUCUCAAGCUAUGUGCAUUUUUAGGUUAGUACAUCAUCAAGUUCUUUUAACCAUAAAGAAACUUAUGUGAAACACCCAAGCUUUAA
This is an RNA transcript of Papaver somniferum (opium poppy), 756 nucleotides long. RefSeq lists it as uncharacterized. The transcript is spliced from 2 exons. The record is from RefSeq and is a predicted model, not a curated record. NCBI's taxonomy places the organism in Eukaryota, Viridiplantae, Streptophyta, Magnoliopsida, Ranunculales, Papaveraceae.